Zophobas morio is the source of this 240-nucleotide long non-coding RNA. RefSeq lists it as uncharacterized. The transcript has 3 exons. NCBI's taxonomy places the organism in Eukaryota, Metazoa, Arthropoda, Insecta, Coleoptera, Tenebrionidae. The record is from RefSeq and is a predicted model, not a curated record.
GCUUAAACGAAUCUUUUGGGAAGUAUGCCCUUACUUUCUUUGCAUCUUUGUUGGCUUUGACCGUUACUUUUUGCGGUGUUACCACGUUAAUUUCCUUUACUGGUCGCUGCAUUGGUGUUGGAAUAUAUCUUGUGUGUCUAGGCUUAACAGCCUUAAUACUAGAGGCUCCCUUUUUACAUAAAGUAAUAUUACUCAAAACGAUACGAGAAACUACGGAUAAAAUGCCCGCCUUACUCAGAG